This 2555-nucleotide long non-coding RNA is filed under the name Meleagris gallopavo (turkey). Its description in RNAcentral is "lncRNA (ENSMGAG00000021908.1)". Lineage: Eukaryota; Metazoa; Chordata; Aves; Galliformes; Phasianidae. The record is from RNAcentral.
UAUAACCUCUGCUAGCCAGUGUAAGAACUAACUUCUUAAACAGUGCUAUCGUUUAUGCUGAACAUUUAAUUAAAAACGAUUUCAUUUACUUACUUGACUGGUUUGGACCAUGAUGGAGGUGCCGUGCCAGCAUUCCUGCAGUGAUCCUUCAGGCUGCUUGGAAGCUACCGGCCCCAUCCUCCACUUGCACAAAGCAGGCCAGCAGCCAGUUUUGAAACUGUUGGCUAACAAGAGUCCCAGAAGGUUGAGCUGUCUCUUGUUUACAAGGGAGGACCAAAUUACCAAACAAAUACCUGUUGGUAGGAUCUUUUGUUUCUUGAGCACAUGAUGUCUGUUGAACCACUGUUUCUAAGCAUAAGCCUCAGACACCUUCAGGAUCCGUCCAGUAUAAACUCCUCCUUUAAAGGAUAGCUAGUUUGGCAUAUAUAGUGAUAGUCUGUUUUUAUCACCACAGUCUAGAUAAAAUUUAGAAACUGGAAACACUUCUGUCUAGCAGUCAUAAUUCUGUCUUCAUUUAUCUGGCACCAGCUUUCCUUGCUCUUUCUUUUGAUUCAUUCUUCAUUUUCUUCUCCAAAUAUUUUCUUUGACUGAGUACCUAUAGUACUAAUGCUUGGCAUGUCGAGUAGUUCUAAUUCUGGUCACUCAUGGGAGUAGGUGUUGAGGCUGUCCAAUACUUUUCAGACUCAUAUCCAAAAGACAAAAUUGAUACAGGCUGUAAAACCAUUAAAGCAACAGCAAUCCAACCCAAUGUGAAAAGCUGUGUUGAAGAAAACUCCCCAGUAAAAUCUGUGUAUGCCAGGAAGAAAAGCUCAAAGUUUUCCUUGAACUGACUCUGCAGAGCAGCCCAAGUGAUAAGGCAUGACCAAAGGAGAAAAAAUUUAAUCAGAACUGAGCGGACUAGAUAUUAGGUUUUUAAUUUUGAAAUAGCUAUAAGUGUAACAAGCUUGGUGGUCUCACCAUGGCCCCUGGCAGUUAGGGGAAUCCACAGCAUGAAACCACCACACAUCGUCUGACACAAUUGGCAGCGUAAGAGAGGCCCAGCUCUGAGCCUCUGCAGCUGCACUGCAUUGUCACUGUGACAGAAAGCACAAAGCUGUGUGCUGUAACAGUCCCGACACGCCACGUGGGAACCACCCCAGUGUACGGAGAGUGUGUGCAAUGGCAGGCCCAACAUCAGUUCAGACAGCUCUCAUAGUCAUUUGCAUUACCUUUCAUCAAUAAACAGCCUUGGUGAGAGUUUUUAUGGUUUUAGAAUUUCCUUAAUAACCUACGGAAAGUGAUAAAAGCAGCAAAUGAAACAAUCCCAUAUGGGAAUUUCUCAGAAAGAGGCCAAGUUUCACGUGCCCUUCAGACUAUGUAAUAGAGUGAGCGUUAUAGCAAGCUGGGAAGGAAGUGAGAAAGGACAAAGACAGAAGGAGGUGCAGCUAGGAGUAGAGUUUUUAAUCUUCACAGUUAAUACUCAGUAAUUUUUGUAAUACGUUUCAAUGAUGAGCUUAAGUAGUUCUGUUAAUGAAUUACUUGUGUCACAUAAUGUCCUUGAGUGCAGCAAUAUUAAAUGGAUCUACAAACGAGUACACUUAGAGGCUGAGCAAACCCCGACAUACUACAUGUGCAGCCCAUCAGGGAGAAAUUUGAGGUGCAACAACAGCUCCCAUGCCCGGCUCCUGCUCCGGGACACACACAGGCCACUGGGAUAAGUGGCCCCUUCGCUCCCACAGCUCUUCUGCUCAUCUGUCCCUUCAAGUCCUUUGGGCUUCCAUCCUUUGGGUCUGAUUAGCUGUAAAACAGAAUAGGUUAACCUACUACCACUGGGUUUAGUGGAAGUGGCUUCAAACCUUAAUUUGGCUAUUAAUGGCCUCUGAAAUACAGAAAUGGCAUAGGAGAGAAUUUAAGCCACUCUAGUUCAGUUGGCCAUAGCAGCCACUUAACAAAGUCAGUGAUCAUCAAAAUCGAACAGUAGAAUGCUGAUUAUCAGGAAAAAUAAAUCACUUUCCUAUUUGCCUUUAUCAAGAGAGUAUGUCUUAUAAAAUAGGGACCAAAUGUCAUUUGUUUUUACUUUAAUUGUAUUCUAAGAGCUUCCUCUUUCUUUCUGAAUCAAAUGUCUGUUAAGUAUUUAUGGCAUGGCAUGAGUCAGAGGAAGCUUGCACAAGAUUCAUAGCGUGCAAUUCAGCGCUAUUGUUUUGAAGUCAUCAAAUUGGGAAAGCUAUCAGUCCAUUAAGAAUGACCUGCAAAGCCACAAAAAUAGAUUUUAGCCAUGAGUCUCCCUCUCUGUCUACGCAGAGUAAUUGCAAGACUGAAGCUCUUUAUUCUGUGAGUAAUCAGGAACCACAGCAAUGUUGAUGAAAGCAAUAGCUUAAUGCUACUCAAUUAUGGUGUAUGCAUAGUCAUUGAAGGAUCAGCUCUGAAAAUUCUUUUAAACGUUUAAGGCAAGUGGGAAACACAAUCACAGAAUGGCCAGGGUUGGAAGGGACCUCAAAGAUUGUGAAUCUCCAACCCUCCUCCCACAUGCAGGGCCACCAACCUCCACAUUUAAUACUAGACCAUGCUGUCCAGGG